RNAcentral lists this ribosomal RNA (623 nucleotides) under uncultured bacterium. RNAcentral describes it as "bacterial SSU rRNA". It matches the Rfam family "Bacterial small subunit ribosomal RNA", at positions 11 to 620 of the family's 1533-position model. The record is from RNAcentral.
GUUUGAUCAUGGCUCAGAAUCAACGCUGGCGGCGUGCCUCAGACAUGCAAGUCGAACGCGAAAGUCCCCUUCGGGAUAAGUAGAGUGGCGUCCGGGUGAGUAACACGUAGGUAAUCUACCUUCGGGUGGGGAAUAACCCAGGGAAACUUGGGCUAAUACCGCAUAAUGCAGCGGCACCACAUGGUGACAGUUGUUAAAGCGGGGGAUCUUCGGAUCUCGCGCCUGAAGAGGAGCCUGCGCAGAUUAGCUAGUUGGUAAGGUAACGGCUUACCAAGGCGACGAUCUGUAGCCGGCCUGAGAGGGCGGUCGGCCACACUGACACUGACAUACGGGUCAGACUCCUACGGGAGGCAGCAGUCGGGAAUUUUGGGCAAUGGGCGAAACUGACCCAGCAACGCCGCGUGAAGGAUGAAAUCCUCGGGAUGUAAACUUCGCAAGAUGGGAAGAAUUAGUAGGGGUUAAUACCCUCUAUGAUGACGGUACCAUUUGUAAGCUCCGGCUAACUCCCGUGCCAGCAGCGCGGUAAUACGGGGGGGAGCAAGCGUUUGUUCGGAUUUACUGGGCGUAAAAGGCGCGUAGCGUCAGCACAAGUCAGUUGUGAAAUCUCCGGGCUAACUCGGAAA